Molecule: long non-coding RNA, 720 nt
Organism: Ornithodoros turicata
Lineage: Eukaryota; Metazoa; Arthropoda; Arachnida; Ixodida; Argasidae
Exons: 7
Source: RefSeq, a predicted model, not a curated record
CAGCCAUGUCCGGUUCUACCGCGGCACUGGAAACGCAAAGCGCUCAGGUGUCGGCAGCUUCCGACUUGGGAACGGCAAGUGCUCAGGCGUCGGAGGCAGUUAUAGGCCCGGAAGUUGCUCCCGCUCCUGCUGAACGUCCUGAUGAAGUAAACCUCGUCGAUGAACGCUCCUCUGAGCGGGCUGUGUCAACACCACCUACAUACACAAGGCCCCUCCGCAGCUCCGUGACGUCACCCUAUGCCAUCCGUCGGCAAGCCAACAAUGGCGUCCGCUUGCUGUGGUUGCGUUCGGCAGAGAUGCUAUUUCGAAGACGAAUUCACCCGUUUUCUCGAUGUGAAACAGCGAACGAGCGUGUACUUCCGAAGAAUAGGAUCCUACUGCAGUGUCUGUGCCCAUAACUUACGGAAUAAUUGCGUACACAGCGGCAAGCCCAGCGACUUACAACUUCUGCUGCUAAGAGUACACGAAAGCACGAAUAAAGAACUUGUCGAAGUACGAUUCAUGAAGAGCAGCAUUGACAACAAACGUAUGCGUUUCGGCUACAAAGGUGCCUCUUGUGACGUGUUUGCAGUAGACAAACAACUGGUGUAAGUGGUGAACAGGUGCGGGACAUACCAUCAAGAGUCAGCCGUGUGUCCUUCAGUAACUACGACUUCCUUCCCUGUCUUGCAGUCAACACUGCGUGAUGUUUUUGUGAUUGGUUGUUGGAAAACGACGACA